RNAcentral lists this non-coding RNA (95 nucleotides) under Rheinheimera sp. SA_1. Its description in RNAcentral is "c-di-GMP-I riboswitch aptamer". It matches the Rfam family "c-di-GMP-I riboswitch aptamer". From Rfam's summary of the family: GEMM was predicted in a large-scale screen for bacterial structured RNA regulatory elements. Genes associated with GEMM are involved in a diverse array of functions, including chemotaxis regulation, signal transduction, secretion and chitin. The record is from Rfam by way of RNAcentral. Lineage: Bacteria; Pseudomonadati; Pseudomonadota; Gammaproteobacteria; Chromatiales; Chromatiaceae. RNAcentral also lists the same sequence under 1 other name.
GCCAUUGAAGGGCAAGUCAGCUGAAAAGCUGAACACGCAAAGCUUCAGGUCUACAGGUAAAUCAACAAUUUACCCACGACGGCUGAGCUACCAUC